AUUGAACUGCACCCCUUUUUAUUUUGUUAUUCUCUAUUUUACUAUCGACACAUUUUUUAGAUGGACAAGAGAGACUUUUUAUAUCCAGAAAUUGUUCUAACCACCUUCAUCUUGCCGCAUGUAUGAUCAGCAGGAGAUGUUAUUGUCAUGCAUGAUGGAGAGAAACUCGCCAGCACCAUAAUGUUGAACUUCCAAAACUCAAAAUACCUUAACAAAACAACAACACAAAAAAUAAAAAUUGUAUACAUUAAGUGCAAGCAGCAUCCUGUAGCGAACACCCAUUUUCAUCCAGUAUACAUGGAUGGUUAUUGAACAACUACACAAAGGUCCACACUCUCAAAAAUGACAUCUCCCCACCUAGUUAUCACAAUAGCUGGUAUUUUUCAUCAUCAUGGCAGAGUCACCAAAAUCUAUCUCGCCAUCAACUGUGACAGAGCAGAAAUCAAGUUGAGUCAAUUGAUUCUCCACUAGGAUAAAGUUUCAGAAAAUUGAAGCUCUUCCAUUGUCAGCAAAGAGAGAGAAGUGGCCAACAAUUUUUUCAUCCGUCUCUUGAAAAUAUUACUUGGAUGUCUUUGGGAGAGUGGUUUUUUAACCCAACUCUUUUUGGUAAUACGCUAAAAAUCAACAUCUGAAACCUUUCCCUGCAAAAUAUAAUAGAGUUCACAACAAUGUUCUUACCUGGACGGUGUUUGCACCCCAAUCUGGACUGCGGGAGGAUGAGGAUGUGCAUGCCUCUGCUGCGGAGCACGCGAGCACACACACACACACACACACACACACUAACACACAUGCCUCUGCACGGAGCACGCACACAUCAAACUGAAGCUUUUCUCAAAAAGCAAGAGGAAUUCCAACAAUCUUGUUCGA
RNAcentral lists this long non-coding RNA (867 nucleotides) under Triticum aestivum (bread wheat). Its description in RNAcentral is "long non-coding RNA (TAES_LNC005281)". Lineage: Eukaryota; Viridiplantae; Streptophyta; Magnoliopsida; Poales; Poaceae. The record is from RNAcentral.